Long non-coding RNA from Armigeres subalbatus, 722 nucleotides. RefSeq lists it as uncharacterized. Lineage: Eukaryota; Metazoa; Arthropoda; Insecta; Diptera; Culicidae. The transcript is spliced from 3 exons. The record is from RefSeq and is a predicted model, not a curated record.
UAUUUUCAAAAAAAAAUUAACAACCGGUAUUAACGCCAAAAAUCACCGCAACAACCUCUAAACGGAAGCUCUUGGUGUGCUCUACAAGUCUUGUGAACAUCGCGAUUCGUUCCUUUUACAUUUUAACCAUGUUAAAGUGAUUCUCAAGCUUUUAGCUCCUAGGUGGAUUCGGUCAAGCAGUUUUAUAGUGCUAUCAUGGUGAAGCAUUCCUGCGAUAAUCAAACCCAAUCAUCAUCGUUUGAAGUUGUUCCUGUUGACUCUUUCAAUAUUUCAAGGCACAGUUUGCCUUGGAGAAGAUCCGCCAUCGACGAAAUUCGUGUUCUGUUUCUCCGGACAGAAAUCGAGAUUUGCAACGCUUGAAACUGUUCCUGUUGGCUGUUUAAAUAAUUUGAGGCACGAUUUGCCUUGGAUAAGGUGAGUACCUUUCCAAGUUGCUAAACUUCCAGUGGUCCGGUCUACCGGUCUAUUUUUUGGACAGAUUUACCAUCUACGAAAGCCGUUUUUUGUGACUAUCAUGGCGGAACUGGAUAUUCUCGUCGCCAGAAGGACCACGCUGCUUACUUCGCUGGGUCGGGCAGAGGCAUUCAUCGAGAACUACGACGCUGCAAGAGACCAAGGGCAAGAGCCGCUUCGAAUGAGUCAUGUGGAAAACAUCUGGGCCAGUAUAGAAGCGGUACAAGAAGAAUUAAACGACUUAGCUACGACAGAGGAAGGUAGGGCAG